UACGUAGGUCCCGAGCGUUGUCCGGAUUUAUUGGGCGUAAAGCGAGCGCAGUUGGUUUAUUAAGUCUGGUGUAAAAGGCAGUGGCUCAACCAUUGUAUGCAUUGGAAACUGGUAGACUUGAGUGCAGGAGAGGAGAGUGGAAUUCCAUGUGUAGCGGUGAAAUGCGUAGAUAUAUGGAGGAACACUGGUGGCGAAAGCGGCUCUCUGGCCUGUAACUGACACUGAGGCUCGAAAGCGUGGGGAGCAAACAGG
RNAcentral lists this ribosomal RNA (252 nucleotides) under uncultured bacterium. RNAcentral describes it as "partial 16S ribosomal RNA". It matches the Rfam family "Bacterial small subunit ribosomal RNA", at positions 524 to 776 of the family's 1533-position model. The record is from RNAcentral.